This 424-nucleotide ribosomal RNA is filed under the name uncultured prokaryote. RNAcentral describes it as "bacterial SSU rRNA". It matches the Rfam family "Bacterial small subunit ribosomal RNA", at positions 355 to 796 of the family's 1533-position model. The record is from RNAcentral.
UGGGGAAUCUUGCACAAUGGGCGCAAGCCUGAUGCAGCCAUGCCGCGUGAGUGAAGAAGGCCCUAGGGUUGUAAAGCUCUUUCAGUGGUGAAGAUAAUGACGGUAACCACAGAAGAAGCCCCGGCUAACUCCGUGCCAGCAGCCGCGGUAAUACGGAGGGGGCUAGCGUUGUCCGGAAUUACUGGGCGUAAAGCGCACGUAGGCGGACGAUCAAGUUGGGGGUGAAAGCCCGGAGCUCAACUCCGGAAUUGCCUCCAAAACUGGUUGUCUGGAGUCCGGGAGAGGUGAGUGGAAUUCCUAGUGUAGAGGUGAAAUUCGUAGAUAUUAGGAAGAACACCAGUGGCGAAGGCGGCUCACUGGCCCGGUACUGACGCUGAGGUGCGAAAGCGUGGGGAGCAAACAGGAUUAGAUACCCCCGUAGUCC